RNAcentral lists this long non-coding RNA (1580 nucleotides) under Homo sapiens (human). Its description in RNAcentral is "non-protein coding DCST1-AS1:24". The record is from RNAcentral. Lineage: Eukaryota; Metazoa; Chordata; Mammalia; Primates; Hominidae.
GCCCGCGCUGCUCAGCGCUACCGCUUCCCCGCAACUGUGCGGAGUGGGAGCCGGUGCCCGGUCCGACCGGCUUGGGCGGCGCGCCUUCACCCGGCGCCAGGUCCGGACCCCUCCCUAGUAGCUUCGCGGCCUCCCUGCCUCCUGUGCGCGGCCUGGCUCGGAGAGGUCGGGCGGGCAGGCUUUCCCGACUGCAGGCGAGGCAGUGCGCGGCUCACCCCAGUCCCCGACCCACGUGAAGCGUACAGGGCAUUUUAUUAACCGGGAAGGACGGUGCGGAAGAGCGAGCAGGACGCCUCUUCACCCCGCGUAGGCAGUGUCGUCGUUGCUGUCACUAAAGGCGGAGGAAGAGAGCUCUUCGCGGGGCGUGCAGACCGGGCACCGCUGCCGCAUGUCGUCCCAGCACGACCAGCAGUACACGGCCUCGCAGUCCAGCGUCCGGCACACGUAGGACUCGGGCGUCUCGGGUGCCUGGCACACCACGCAGCGCCGGCACAGCCAGCGGCGCAGGAGCGGGCAGCCGCGGUGCAGGAUAUCCGCCAGCGGGUGGCGCUGUUGGGAGGUGAGAAAACUGAUGCUUGGAGAUGUGAUCACUGCCCAGGGUCACCCAAUGAUAACAUGCAUGCAUAUGGAACUUGCUGCAUGCCAGCACCAUGAGUCCGCUCCCCAUGCUGUCCUCACCACAUUGCUCAUUUCUGAGGCCUGGAUGGUGGGCUUGCAAGGGAAGAUGACGGUUUUCUCCUCAGCUUUGCGGAGUGGCAGCAGAGUCCGUUUGCCCUGGAAAACAAAUGUCCACACAGUUAGGAAGCCCAAGGGCCCUCUGCCCUUUCCUCUCUGCCUUCCUGGAGCAUGAACCCACACAGGGCACACAGCAGCAAGGCAUCCCCGGGCAGUGCCGUGCCCACUCACCAGCUUCUUCCUGCGGUCAUCGAUCUGGCAGAAGUAGGUUCUCCUCAUCUAUCCCCAAACAUGGGCUUCCUUGAGGCACAGUCAUUCAACCAACCAGCCAGCAUUCAUUGAGCACCAUCUAUGUCCUGGGCACUGCUAGGGGAUGGUGAUAACAGGGAGAAGACUCUGUCCCUGCCUUCCAAUUGUGUAGAGGAAGACAUCCCCCUACAUGAUGGGUGAGACAUAGCAGAAGUGAGUAGGGGAUGAGGUGGGGGCUCAGAGGAGGGCAUGGUCAGCCUGUCUGGGAGGGAGUUGCAUGUGUGCAUCUGAGGUAGGGACAGGCAUGCAUCUUACAGGAUGAAUAUCGAGCAGAGUUACAGAGAGGGGGAAACUCCUUGAGGUUUCAGGAAUCACCUAAUCCACUGUGACUCACAAAUUCCUGCCUCUUGGCUUUGCCUGCAGCAUAUCUCCUGGAAGUGUGCUGGGGCAAAACUCAUCCCAGACCACCAUCUCCAUCCUCCCCCAAUACACCCUGGCUCUCCCUGGCUACCCUUGAGCACGGUGCACGUGUGCAUGGGUGCAUGCCUGCAUAUAUAGCUAUCCCCCAUGUAUUUCCCAAAGCCCUACAUAAUGCUUCAGUUUGCUAAGGAAAAAAUGUUAAUUACUGCAAAUGUGUUUAAAACUGUAAAAGUACA